Pecten maximus is the source of this 1688-nucleotide long non-coding RNA. RefSeq lists it as uncharacterized. NCBI's taxonomy places the organism in Eukaryota, Metazoa, Mollusca, Bivalvia, Pectinida, Pectinidae. The record is from RefSeq and is a predicted model, not a curated record. The transcript has 2 exons.
AUUGGGAUGCCAGUAUCCACAGUAUGUUAAUGUUGUAUAUUGGGAUGCCAGUAUCCACAGUAAAUGUAUGUUAAUGUUGUAUAUUGGGAUGCCAGUAUCCACAGUAAAUGUAUGUUAAUGUUGUAUAUUGGGAUGCCAGUAUCCACAGUAAAUGUAUGUUAAUGUUGUAUAUUGGGAUGCCAGUAUCAACAGUUGUUAUACGUUAAUGAGUAAUAUUUGAAAUUUCAAAAAUGAAAUGACCAAAGUAUUGCCCCCGGUAUGUGUAACAAGGGAGCAAUCCAACCUGUCGAAGGACUUUGUAUAGAAGGCUGGGUCCACAUUAAACGACAAUAUUUGUCCGAGUAUCGGUCACAAACUGUAUUUUAUUUCAUUUUGCAUCUUUUCUUUGUUUUUGUGAAGUUCAUAGUUCCUUCGGUUUAUGCUCACAUUUAAAGUGUAAUGACUAAAACAACUGACCAGAUAUUAACCGGGGAAUCAUUUUCAGCGUGUCUCCUUGAAUAUCUCCUCUGGGGGAGGGAGGUGUUUUCUCCUUUUCACUGUUUAUUUCAACAUUGACUAUUGAUUAUUACAGAAGUCCGUGUUGAUCUUGUACAGAUGUCUGUUUAUCAGUAUUUCACAGUCUUUACUGAUGUGAGAGAUGUGGCAGUAUUUCACAGCCUUUACUGAUGUGAGAGGUGUGACAGUAUUUCACAGUCUUUACUGAUGUGAGAGGUGUGACAGUAUUUCACAGCCUUUACUGAUGUGAGAGAUGUGACAGUAUUUCAGUCUUUACUGAUGUGAGAGGUGUGGCAGUAUUUCACAGCCUUUACUGAUGUGAGAUAUGUGGCAGUAUUUCACAGCCUUUACUGAUGUGAGAGGUGUGGCAGUAUUUCACAGCCUUUACUGAUGUGAGAGGUGUGACAGUAUUUCACAGCCUUUACUGAUGUGAGAGGUGUGACAGUAUUUCACAGCCUUUACUGAUGUGAGAUAUGUGGCAGUGUUUCACAGCCUUUACUGAUGUGAGAGAUGUGACAGUAUUUUACAGUCUUUACUGAUGUGAGAGGUGUGACAGUAUUUCACAGUCUUUACUGAUGUGAGAUGUGUGACAGUAUUUCACAGUCUUUACUGAUGUGAGAUGUGUGACAGUAUUUCACAGUCUUACUGAUGUGAGAGAUGUGACAGUAUUUUACAGUCUUUACUGAUGUGAGAUGUGUGACAGUAUUUCACAGUCUUUACUGAUGUGAGAGAUGUGACAGUAUUUUACAGUCUUUACUGAUGUGAGAGGUGUGACAGUAUUUCACAGUAUUUACUGAUGUGAGAGCUGGUGUGACAGUAUUUCAGCCUUUACUGAUGUGAGAGGUGUGGCAGUAUUUCACAGCCUUUACUGAUGUGAGAGGUGUGACAGUAUUUCACAGUCUUUACUGAUGUGAGAGGUGUGACAGUAUUUCACAGCCUUUACUGAUGUGAGAUGUGUGACAGUAUUUCACAGCCUUUACUGAUGUGAGAGGUGUGGGCGUUGUAGAAAUAUUUACAAUGUGACUUACCGUUAUUGUUAGGUAAGGACCUGUGUAUAUACCAUGUUAGUGGUUUACAGAGAGGAUGUCGGUAUUUAUACAGCUGAAGCAGGUAUCAAACCUCAACUACAUGUAGCUAUAGGGUGUAUAACUAUGGGACAUGUUAUCAUUGACAAAUAAACUCGUCAAACAUUU